This 467-nucleotide ribosomal RNA is filed under the name uncultured bacterium. RNAcentral describes it as "partial 16S ribosomal RNA". It matches the Rfam family "Bacterial small subunit ribosomal RNA", at positions 28 to 507 of the family's 1533-position model. The record is from RNAcentral.
GAUGAACGCUGGCGGCGUGCUUAACACAUGCAAGUCGAACGGAAAGGCCCAAGCUUGCUUGGGUACUCGAGUGGCGAACGGGUGAGUAACACGUGGGUGAUCUGCCCUGCACUUCGGGAUAAGCCUGGGAAACUGGGUCUAAUACCGGAUAGGACCACUUCUUGGAUGUUGUGGUGGAAAGUUUUUUCGGUGUGGGAUGAGCUCGCGGCCUAUCAGCUUGUUGGUGGGGUAAUGGCCUACCAAGGCGUCGACGGGUAGCCGGCCUGAGAGGGUGUACGGCCACAUUGGGACUGAGAUACGGACCAGACUCCUACGGGAGGCAGCAGUGGGGAAUAUUGCACAAUGGGCGCAAGCCUGAUGCAGCGACGCCGCGUGGGGGAUGACGGCCUUCGGGUUGUAAACUCCUUUCGCUAGGGACGAAGCGUUUUGUGACGGUACCUGGAGAAGAAGCACCGGCUAACUACGUG